RNAcentral lists this ribosomal RNA (253 nucleotides) under uncultured bacterium. RNAcentral describes it as "partial 16S ribosomal RNA". It matches the Rfam family "Bacterial small subunit ribosomal RNA", at positions 524 to 776 of the family's 1533-position model. The record is from RNAcentral.
UACGUAGGGUGCAAGCGUUGUCCGGAAUUAUUGGGCGUAAAGAGCUCGUAGGCGGUCUGUCACGUCGGCUGUGAAAACCCGAGGCUCAACCUCGGGCCUGCAGUCGAUACGGGCAAACUAGAGUACUGCAGGGGAGACUGGAAUUCCUGGUGUAGCGGUGAAAUGCGCAGAUAUCAGGAGGAACACCGGUGGCGAAGGCGGGUCUCUGGGCAGUAACUGACGCUGAGGAGCGAAAGCGUGGGGAGCAAACAGG